Molecule: ribosomal RNA, 497 nt
Filed under: uncultured bacterium
Lineage: Bacteria
Description: partial 16S ribosomal RNA
Rfam family: Bacterial small subunit ribosomal RNA
Source: RNAcentral
GAUGAACGCUGGCGGCGUGCCUAAUACAUGCAAGUCGAGCGAACAGACGAGGAGCUCGCUCCUCUGACGUUAGCGGCGGACGGGUGAGUAACACGUGGAUAACCUACCUAUAAGACUGGGAUAACUUCGGGAAACCGGAGCUAAUACCGGAUAAUAUAUUGAACCGCAUGGUUCAAUAGUGAAAGACGGGUUUGCUGUCACUUAUAGAUGGAUCCGCGCCGCAUUAGCUAGUUGGUAAGGUAACGGCUUACCAAGGCGACGAUGCGUAGCCGACCUGAGAGAGUGUGCGGCGACACUGCGACUGAGACACGGUCCAGACUCCUACGGGAGGCAGCAGUAGGGAAUCUUCCGCAAUGGGCGAAAGCCUGACGGAGCAACGCCGCGUGGGUGAUGAAGGUCUUCGGGUCGUAAAACUCUGUUAUUAGGGAAGAACAAAUGUGUAAGUAACUAUGCACGUCUUGACGGUACCUAAUCAGAAAGCCACGGCUAACUACGUG